Long non-coding RNA from Papaver somniferum (opium poppy), 1595 nucleotides. RefSeq lists it as uncharacterized. The record is from RefSeq and is a predicted model, not a curated record. Lineage: Eukaryota; Viridiplantae; Streptophyta; Magnoliopsida; Ranunculales; Papaveraceae. The transcript is spliced from 4 exons.
UCUCGCAUCUUUUUAUCCUCAUCUGGCUCCCAUCUCUUUCUCCUUCUCCGGCUCUCCUUCCAUCACUGUUAUCAAACAAACAAAACAAAACCCAUAUUUUGUCACUCCCUCAAUAUCACCGUUGUCUGUCUCUUAAAUGUCGUCUGAUUCUUCUCUCCAGCCAUCAAAUUGAAGGUCCGUCUUCACCGAUCGACCAACUUCAAGCCCAAUCGCGAACACAACUCAUCCCCUGGUGAUUCCCAGAGAACAAGGAGAGAAAGAAAUUCAUAAAACACAUCAUUUUAAUCGCAUCACCAUGUUCUCAAUGCCAUCGAUUUGGUGUAAUCCCUAAUCCUUUCAACUACUCAAAUGGAAAGUAGAGGGAAAAUUUUUAGUAGAGCAAUACCAAUAGCAAAUCCUACAGCUACAGAUGUGGUUGUUGAUUUCUAAGAAGGUUUUGGAUUUCUCCCUCAGGGUUUCUCAUAGUACAGAAAAUUCAUCACUUCAAUUUGAUGACAUCAAAAAGUUGAAAGCUCCACCACCAUCUUCAAAGUCGGCUAAAUAUGUUGGAUUUGUAAAGAUGUGGAGCAAAGUAUAGCAUAAGGAGAAAGUUAACUAUGUUGUUUGAUUAAUCUCGGUUUACUUUGUGAAAACUGCCCUAAUUGUUUUAUAAGAUUACAAGUUAUAUUGUUGCACAGAUUCUUAGCUGGUGUGCUCGCAUGGAAGGAUACACAAGUUUUAGUUCCCUCCCUUCAGAUAGAUGAAAUUCUCAUGGACAAACUUUCUGGGACCUUCUCAAAGAUGUUCGUUAGAGAAGGGAUGGUACAAGCUGUGGAGACUCUUAUAGUGUAUGAUUCAUCAAGCUCUGCUCUCCAGGCAUCUCCCGCUAUCUAGAUCAGCAACACGUUCUCGGCGUUGUAGACGACACGUUGCUGGCUCGAAUGCAAGAGGAAAUUCCUUUGAGGAAUCAAAAUAUUCUGCUCCUAUGAAUAUUGGCUCUCCCCCCAGCUACUGUAGAAAUUACAUUGGUUAAUUCUAGUCUUCGUGCGAAGUCUGUGCAAGAGCGAAAGACUUCAAGGUUAAAUAUUUUUCUGCUGACACAGCCACUGAAGUUGGAGUAACUAAUGACCUUUUACGCUUAAUGAAUCUUUGAAAGCAACUGAAUGUCUUAUGCUCUUCGCUUAUUAGAUCGUGGAGCAUUUGGUUGGUGUUAUGUCUGAGCUGCUAGCGGAGCUUAGUAAAGGAGUGGUGUCUCCACAUUUGAGUUCAUCGGUAGUGGAGUAGUGGCAGCUCUCCUCAACUAUUUUUCUUGUGGAACCUUUUCUAAGGACAACUUCUGAAGCAAAUUUGCUGAAGCUGCGCCAACAAGCUCUUAAAAGGUUCAAAUCAUUUGUAGCAGUGGGUCUUCCUACAGGUUUUCAUGAUGGGAAAUAUUUAUUUUGUAAUUAUUCUCUUUGGAACGAUAUAUGCUAGUCACCAAUGAAAAUCUGGUGACGAAUUUGUCAUGUAAAAAAAAUAGCUAAGGAUAGAUAAUUUUGCAAGGAAAUAGUUGUGGUUAGGGCAGUGUUGUGCCGAUAAUGAUUUUCUGAGACGAAUGAAAAUUAUUUUAGAGACAA